RNAcentral lists this non-coding RNA (24 nucleotides) under Arabidopsis thaliana (thale cress). The record is from RNAcentral. Lineage: Eukaryota; Viridiplantae; Streptophyta; Magnoliopsida; Brassicales; Brassicaceae.
AGCAAGAGAUGGAGGGAAGCAGCA